RNAcentral lists this ribosomal RNA (262 nucleotides) under uncultured bacterium. Its description in RNAcentral is "partial 16S ribosomal RNA". It matches the Rfam family "Bacterial small subunit ribosomal RNA", at positions 95 to 353 of the family's 1533-position model. The record is from RNAcentral.
CCGGCGCACGGGUGAGUAACACGUAUCCAACCUGCCGUCUACUCUUGGACAGCCUUCUGAAAGGAAGAUUAAUACAAGAUGGCAUCAUGAGUCCGCAUGUUCACAUGAUUAAAGGUAUUCCGGUAGACGAUGGGGAUGCGUUCCAUUAGAUAGUAGGCGGGGUAACGGCCCACCCUAGUCUUCGAUGGAUAGGGGUUCUGAGAGGAAGGUCCCCCACCAUUGGAACUGAGACACGGUCCAAACUCCUACGGGAGGCAGCAUG